UUUUUAACAAGGUUACCCCUGGGAAAGUUGCAAAGAACUUUGAAGAGAGAGUUCAAGAGAACGUGAAACCGCUGAAACGGAAGCGUAUGGUGUUGACUCAAGUAGGCGCAAGAUUAUUUUUGAUACUCUUGAUGCUGAAAGCGCCGAGAGCUCGCUUAGCGCGCAAUGAAACACCUCUCCCUUCGGGGGCAUUUGCGAAGGUCUUCUUUGCUUAGGAGGUGGAGUAAGAGCGUCGCGGCUUCUUGCAUCUCGGUGUAAAGGUCGACGGCCCAUCCGUCCCGUCUUGAAACACGGACCAAGAAGUCUAGCACAUGCGCGAGUCAAUGGGUGUUAAACCUAGAGGCGUAGCGAAAUCAAAGCAUAUGGGAUCCGUUGCCGUUCGCGGUGGCGGCGCACCAUAGCCCCUUGUGCUUUUGCGCAAGGAGGAAGAGCGUAUGUGCUAGGACCCGAAAGAUGGUGAACUAUGCGUGUACAGGGUGAAGCCGUGAGUGCCGGUGGAAGCUCGAAGUGAUUUUGACGUGCAAAUCGAUCGUCUGAUGUGCGUGUAGGGGCGAAAGACUAAUCGAACCAUCUAGUAGCUGUUCCCCUUCCGAAAA
This 596-nucleotide ribosomal RNA is filed under the name Pelodera strongyloides. RNAcentral describes it as "partial 28S ribosomal RNA". It matches the Rfam family "Eukaryotic large subunit ribosomal RNA", at positions 318 to 967 of the family's 3401-position model. The record is from RNAcentral. Lineage: Eukaryota; Metazoa; Nematoda; Chromadorea; Rhabditida; Rhabditidae.